This 88-nucleotide ribosomal RNA is filed under the name Porphyromonas sp. RNAcentral's name for it is "partial 16S ribosomal RNA". The stretch from base 1 to 79 matches the Rfam family "Bacterial small subunit ribosomal RNA", at positions 1455 to 1533 of the family's 1533-position model. Lineage: Bacteria; Pseudomonadati; Bacteroidota; Bacteroidia; Bacteroidales; Porphyromonadaceae. The record is from RNAcentral.
GCCUAGGGUAAUACAGGUGACUGGGGCUAAGUCGUAACAAGGUAGCCGUACCGGAAGGUGCGGCUGGAACACCUCCUUUCUGGAGUUC